RNAcentral lists this ribosomal RNA (719 nucleotides) under Pseudoalteromonas lipolytica. Its description in RNAcentral is "bacterial SSU rRNA". It matches the Rfam family "Bacterial small subunit ribosomal RNA", at positions 96 to 809 of the family's 1533-position model. Lineage: Bacteria; Pseudomonadati; Pseudomonadota; Gammaproteobacteria; Alteromonadales; Pseudoalteromonadaceae. The record is from RNAcentral.
CGGCGGACGGGUGAGUAAUGCUUGGGAAUAUGCCUUAUGGUGGGGGACAACAGUUGGAAACGACUGCUAAUACCGCAUGAUGUCUACGGACCAAAGUGGGGGACCUUCGGGCCUCACGCCAUAAGAUUAGCCCAAGUGGGAUUAGCUAGUUGGUGAGGUAAUGGCUCACCAAGGCGACGAUCCCUAGCUGGUUUGAGAGGAUGAUCAGCCACACUGGGACUGAGACACGGCCCAGACUCCUACGGGAGGCAGCAGUGGGGAAUAUUGCACAAUGGGCGCAAGCCUGAUGCAGCCAUGCCGCGUGUGUGAAGAAGGCCUUCGGGUUGUAAAGCACUUUCAGUAAGGAGGAAAGGUUAAGUGUUAAUAGCACUUAGCUGUGACGUUACUUACAGAAGAAGCACCGGCUAACUCCGUGCCAGCAGCCGCGGUAAUACGGAGGGUGCGAGCGUUAAUCGGAAUUACUGGGCGUAAAGCGUACGCAGGCGGUUUGUUAAGCGAGAUGUGAAAGCCCCGGGCUCAACCUGGGAACUGCAUUUCGAACUGGCAAACUAGAGUGUGAUAGAGGGUGGUAGAAUUUCACGUGUAGCGGUGAAAUGCGUAGAGAUCUGAAGGGAAUACCGAUGGCGAAGGCAGCCACCUGGGUCAACACUGACGCUCAUGUACGAAAGCGUGGGGGAGCAAACAGGAUUAGAUACCCUGGUAGUCCACGCCGUAAACGA